UCAGUUCGGAUUGAAGGCUGAAAUUCGCCUUCAUGAAGCCGGAAUUGCUAGUAAUGGCAGGUCAGCAUACUGCCGUGAAUACGUUCCCGGGCCUUGUACACACCGCCCGUCACACCAUGAGAGUUGGCAACACCCGAAGUCGGUAGUCUAACCGCAAGGAGGACGCCGCCGAAGGUGGGGUUGAUGAUUAGGGUUAAGUCGUAACAAGGUACC
Molecule: ribosomal RNA, 213 nt
Filed under: uncultured bacterium
Lineage: Bacteria
Description: partial 16S ribosomal RNA
Rfam family: Bacterial small subunit ribosomal RNA
Source: RNAcentral